GACAGGGGAUGCAAGCGUUGUUCGGAAUGAUUGGGCGUAAAGCGUCUGUAGGUGGCUUUUUAAGUUCGCCGUCAAAUCCCAGGGCUCAACCCUGGACAGGUGGUGGAAACUACCAAGCUAGAGUACGGUAGGGGCAGAGGGAAUUUCCGGUGGAGCGAUGAAAUGCGUAGAGAUCGGAAGGAACACCCAAGGCGAAAGCACUCUGCUGGGCCGACACUGACACUGAGAGACGAAAGCUAGGGGAGCAAAUGGG
RNAcentral lists this ribosomal RNA (253 nucleotides) under uncultured bacterium. RNAcentral describes it as "partial 16S ribosomal RNA". It matches the Rfam family "Bacterial small subunit ribosomal RNA", at positions 524 to 776 of the family's 1533-position model. The record is from RNAcentral.